RNAcentral lists this long non-coding RNA (1089 nucleotides) under Fragaria vesca (wild strawberry). RNAcentral's name for it is "long non-coding RNA (FVES_LNC005197)". The record is from RNAcentral. Lineage: Eukaryota; Viridiplantae; Streptophyta; Magnoliopsida; Rosales; Rosaceae.
UCGUCCUUAGAAACAUGGCAUAUUGUGCCGAUUUUGGUCCCUUCCUUUGAAGGUGACUCAUGGCACUACAUCCUCAAGGAGGAUCGCCCACGUGUUUCCGGUUAAGUCUUCUACCCUAUAGCGGAUUUUUCAUCAUCAAUUGUUCAACUAGGCUCAUCCAAGCUCAGUGUGAUGUCUUAGAAUUUUCCGAAAUUAAGGAGAUAGUGGUUUUAAGUGUGUCUCGCACUACCGACCCUCCACGGACAUGUCUGGUCAUACUGACUUGGAGUUACCGAAAACUUUUGAUUUUGGAUCCCCCUACGCUAUUAAACCAAUUGCCGUCUUGCAAAAGACGUUGAAGACUUAUCAAAGCUGGAAAAUUAUCAUCAUAAUCGGAUCCUCUAGGUCCUCUGAGUUAGUUUAUGUUCAUGUUCAUGUUCAUGUCAGGGAGCUUUUGCUAACUAGUCAUGGAGUUUAUGACCUUAGAACGAUCGAAAGGACUUGGUUUUGAUCAUACACACGUCACAUUUGGCUAAGGCAAAAGCCUACACGCCACCUGCAAGCUUCACAGCUUCGCACAUGCCAAAUCUGCGAAAAACAGCAAUCUGUCCCUUCUGGACAGUCAACUUCGUUUGAGCUUUGUGAACAGCUCCGGACGAACCAGACAAUGAGCUUUAUAUCAUUGGAAAGAUCUAUGAGUCUAGUUUUCAGAAAUUUUCACGGUUCAUCCAUAUCUAUUUUAACGAAGAAGUUAUGACUGUUUUAGUUUGCAAAGGUCAUUCUGCUCGGAAAUUUUUAUGCACUCUCGGGAUUGCAGCUUUUCGUAGCUUCUUUCAAUCCUUCUAAAUGGUUCAAGUAGAACUAUUUACUCGCCUAUCUACUCCUUGUAGUUAUGUCUCAUAGAGACAUUGAGUGCUUCGCAGAUAGUGGAACCAUGUUGAGCUUUAAAGACAUUCAUGCUAAUGGUUUUCAUUUGAAAACACAUUGUGAGAAUGAACAAGAAUUCUUUUGUGUAUACCUCCUCAUGAAUGCGAACUGAAACGCAUCUUGGAGAAAUUCAUGAGUCAAUCUAGUGAACUGUAUGUCACUACGAUUCGAAUAUCGAAUCCC